CCUGACGACGCAACGCCGCGUGGAGGAUGAAGGUCUUCGGAUUGUAAACUCCUGUUGCCCGGGACGAAACGCUCCGACCUAACACGUCGGAGUCUGACGGUACCGGGUGAGGAAGCCCCGGCUAACUCUGUGCCAGCAGCCACGGUAAUACAGAGGGGGCUAGCGUUGUUCGGAAUUACUGGGCGUAAAGGGCGCGUAGGUGGCCUGUUAAGUCGAACGUGAAAUCCCCGGGCUCAACCCGGGAACUGCGUCCGAGACUGGCAGGCUCGAAUCCGGGAGAGGGAUGUGGAAUUCCAGGUGUAGCGGUGAAAUGCGUAGAUAUCUGGAGGAACACCGGUGGCGAAGGCGGCAUCCUGGACCGGUAUUGACGCUGAGGCGCGAAAGCCAGGGGAGCAAACGGGAUUAGAUACCCCGGUAGUCCUGGCCCUAAACGAUGAAUGCUUGGUGUGGCGGGUAUCGAUCCCUGCCGUGCCGAAGCUAACGCAUUAAGCAUUCCGCCUGGGGAGUACGGUCGCAAGGCUG
Molecule: ribosomal RNA, 522 nt
Filed under: uncultured Acidobacteriota bacterium
Lineage: Bacteria; Pseudomonadati; Acidobacteriota
Description: bacterial SSU rRNA
Rfam family: Bacterial small subunit ribosomal RNA
Source: RNAcentral